GGAAGGCGGCCCUAUAAAAGGCGGCGAGCCCGCCAGCGGCGGCCAUUUGUGUCUGUGGCGUAGACCGAGGCGGGGGGGGAAAAAAAGUAGCCCGUCGGUGAGCGGCUUCAGCGACAGCGUUGGAUGCUGCCAGAACUGGUGAAUUUUCUCCAGCACUUUGUUUCACUAGUGAGGAUUGGCUUCUCCCUGACCAAGUGUAUUUUCUAAUCUUCCUUUGGCGAUAAAGAUUGAUACUGCAGAGAUCUUCAGGUGACUGUCACGAUGGUGGAAGCAGAUCGUCCCGGAAAACUCUUCAUCGGCGGUCUGAAUACUGAAACAAAUGAGAAGGCACUUGAAGCAGUAUUUGGCAAAUAUGGAAGAAUAGUAGAAGUUCUGCUAAUGAAAGAUCGUGAAACAAAUAAGUCAAGGGGCUUUGCUUUUGUUACUUUUGAAAGUCCGGGAGAUGCAAGGGAUGCUGCCAGGGAUAUGAAUGGAAAGUCUUUGGAUGGAAAACCCAUUAAAGUAGAGCAAGCUACUAAACCAGCAUUUGAAAAUAGUGGACGACGUGGACCACCCCCACCCCCAAGAAGCCGUGGUCCUCCUAGGGGGAUUCGAGGUGGAAGAGGAGGUAGUGGAGGAAUGAGAGGUCCACCUCAAAAAGGUGAGCACGGUGAAUGGAUUCAGGAGAUAGAACAGUGCUACCUUAAGAGGAAUGUACAUUUCUUUAGGAGUCCUGACCCCCGGGAUGAUAUGGGAGCAUAUACUGUCUCCUCCAGAGGACCACCACUGAAAAGGGGUCCGCCAGGGCGUGCAAAUGGACCACCACCUAAAAGACCCCUCCCUUCAGGACCGAUGCGAAGCGGGGGAAUGGGUGGAAGAGGAAGUGGGUCAAGAGGACCUCCCUCACGUGAAAGGGACAGUUAUGGUUCACCUCCAUCUCGUAGAGAGAUGAUGCCAUCCAGAAGGGAUGAUUAUAUGCCAAGAGAUGAUUAUUACAACAGCAGAGACAGUUAUUCUAGCAGAGAUUAUCCAAGUUCAAGAGAUUCCAGAGAUUAUGGCCCACCACCAAGGGACUCCUAUAGUUCCCGUGAAUAUUCUCACUCCGGACGUGAUGAUUAUGGCUCCCGAGGAUACAGUGAUCGUGAUGGUUAUGGUGGACGUGAACCACGUGACUACUAUAAUGAUCGCCCAAGUGGUGGCUCCUACAGAGAUUCCUAUGAUGGCUAUGGAUGAGCAUAGAAUCAAAUUGCUUUUGGAAAUAAUGGAAUGCUAUGCCAGUUGGAGGUUGUACCCAAACCUACUAAAAAUGAAGAUAACUAACCAGAUCAAAGUAACAUCUGGAUUGGAAUAGCGUGGUUGUGAAAGAACGUGCAACAAACUAUGGAGCAGUAUGGUGUUUGAGUUUUUUUGAAUAAAAUCAAAGUUUAAAUGCUCAUCCAAUUUAUAAAGUGUAUAUUUUUGCCUAAUUUGGGUCACUACACUUGUUGCAGCAUCUAGUAGAUGUUAAAGAACAGGCAAAUUAUUUUAACGGCUACAGUGAUGAAUGGAACAAUGAAUAUUUACAAAUGUAGGUCUGUUGCAAAACCUGAAAUGAGUUUAGAUGAGGCAAGUGUGAAGAAGCUCAUGAAACAUUGAUGUCAGCAUGAACUAGUUGGACCACAUGGCCUGUUUCCAUGCUACAUAUGAAGGGCAUUGACUCAGUAAUGCUGAGGCUGUUACUUAUAGCUGCAGAAUCUUUUUAAUAAUCAUAUAAUCUCUCAUCUAACCCUUGAAGUUUCUUCUCCCCACUCCUUUCCUGUCCCAGAGGGUUGUUGUGUUCAUUCAUUGACUCUCUACCUGGGCCUCUUGAUUUCAAAGUUCAGUUUGCUGUUUUGUUCUGAAUUUGAAGUAAUUGAGCCUCUUUACUAUUGCCAGAAGGAUGCUGGCAAAUUACUGCUGUCAGUCAAGUCUCAAAAGUGUCAACAGGGCAGUGAUUGAACAGGUUGUGCACCUAUGUUCAGUCUGAGUUUGCCAGGAUCAUUGUGUUCCAGACUUCGUUAGCCUUGUAACAAAUGUUCAAAACUAAAUUUCAAAAGUGAUGAGAUGCUUUUAACAUAAAGGCAACAUUUUGCAAGAGUGACAUAAAGGAGCCUCUGAAAUUGAUUGGAAUUAGACAAUCUCUUGGGAGUCUGUACUUUUUUUUCAAUGAUUGGCUUUCCAUUAAUUGCAUCUGGCUGAGGAUGUGGCUGCUGGAGCCAAGUUCAGCCAACUUUUAACUGCUUCAGUUAGGAUGUUGUCAAAUGUGGGUAUGUUUGGUUCCUCUCCCACCAAUUGUUUGGAUGUGGAAGCUGUGUUUUAAUGAAGCAGACCAGUACAGCCAUUCUGGUUUCAAGUUGAUUGACUGGAAUUUGUGGCACAGUGAUCAAUAAUAAAAUUCUUGAACACAAUUGCACUGUUGAAUUCCCCUUCUGUGAAAAAACUGAAACAAACAUAACCACAAAUACAAAGAUAUGCUCUUGGUCUUCAAUGGAUGUCUUGAGUGCAUAAAAAGAGGCUAUACUGAUCUUUAUGCUCCAGUUUAGCCCCUGCUAGAGUAUUGUUUCAUCAUGCUCACCACCCAAGGGCUUUCUUCUGUCCUGUGGAGAAGAUUUAACACAAUGGUUCCAGGUUGUGAAAUUUUAGAGUUCAGUCUGAAAGGAUGGAUUUAUUCCCUCGAAGCAAAGGAGAUUUGAUCUCCGAUAUUUAGAGUUAACAAAGUGAAGCCAUGAACUGACGGUGCAGCAGCAGUUAUAUGUCAAUUCUCUUUUAGCUUUCUUUAAUUUCAAAAAAUUGAAUGGGAACCUAAAGAUAAGCUUGCCAGAGUAUAGAAAUAUGCAAUGAAUGAAGCUGAUGGAUUGCUGUUCAGGAGAGCCAGCUCGGGGUCUUUUGGGCUGUGUUUUUUUUUUACUCGUGUUGUGACUACUCUUGCAGGAGUCAAAAUAUCGUCUAUAGGUGUGAGGCUAGAAAAGCACAGCUGGUCAGACAGUAUCUGAGGAGUAGGAAAGUCCAUGUUUCGGGCCAAAACUCUUUGUCAGGGCCAGCUCCUCUGCUGUUGACCUUUUCCAGCCUCUCGUUUUAUAGAUUCUGGCUUCCAGCAUCUGUAGUCCUGUAUUGUCUCCAACUCACCUAAAAUCUACUGACUGCUAAAGUUGUGCUAAUAUGCACAAAGCACAUGUUACAGAAUCCUCUCCAACUGCUUGGAUGAUGGCAAAUCAAAAGGCUAGAUCUUCAAUACCUUCAAGGGUAAGCAGUCUGGUGCCUUGGCAUUCCUUGCUGUAUUGCAUAGUGUCUCCAAGUGCCACACCAUUUCUGUCAUGAGCUAGGCUCUCAAGGCUCACAGUUCCUGAAUUCAAAGUCCCAUUCAGAUCCAAAUCUGUUAACACGUCAUUAUUCUUAAGCCAUAGUUGUGGCAGAUGGAUGUUUCUAAUAUUAGAAAUUCCCAUGAGCUAUUUGACAGGAAUAGAAUGGUUUUUUGAAAGUCUGUAGUUUAAAAAGAUGUUUACCCCAAGUAAACAGGAAUCUUAAUUGAUAGGCAAGUGAAGAUUAAUAUUAAUUGAAAGGAAAUUGAUAAUUUAUGGGUUGGGGCUAACUUCAAAUGUCAUGUUGUUUGGAAUACCUAAAAUAUGCCUGUUCACCAUAGUGCAUCUUAGUUAGUGGCCAUAAUUCAAAUGCAUAGCCUGUACUGAUACUUGUUUUCAAAUAAAAUGUUGGUUUUUAUUUUAAA
Stegostoma tigrinum is the source of this 3721-nucleotide RNA transcript. It is a transcript of the gene named RNA binding motif protein X-linked, with no coding region annotated. The transcript has 12 exons. Lineage: Eukaryota; Metazoa; Chordata; Chondrichthyes; Orectolobiformes; Stegostomatidae. The record is from RefSeq and is a predicted model, not a curated record.